Molecule: ribosomal RNA, 530 nt
Filed under: Drepanicus sp. SLW-2014
Lineage: Eukaryota; Metazoa; Arthropoda; Insecta; Neuroptera; Mantispidae
Description: partial 16S ribosomal RNA
Rfam family: Bacterial large subunit ribosomal RNA
Source: RNAcentral
CAAAAACAUGUCUUUUUGAAAAUAAUUUAAAGUCUAACCUGCCCACUGAAAGUUUUAAAGGGCCGCGGUAUAUUGACUGUGCAAAGGUAGCAUAAUCAUUUGUCUCUUAAUUGGAGGCUAGAAUGAAUGGUUGAAUGAAGUAUUAACUGUCUCAUUUUAAAAAUUUAAUAAUUUAAUUUUUAAGUUAAAAAGCUUAAAUUUUUUUAGAGGACGAGAAGACCCUAUAGAUCUUUAUAAUAUAAAUAUUUAUUUAAUUUAGUUUAAUAUAUUUUAUAAUAAUUUAUAUUAUUUUAUUGGGGUGAUAGGAAAAUUUAUUUAACUUUUUUUAAUAUAAUACAUUGAUUUAUGAAAAAAUUGAUCCAUUUUUAGUGAUUAAAAGAUUAAGUUACCUUAGGGAUAACAGCGUAAUUUUUUUAGAGAGUUCUUAUCGAUAAAAAAGAUUGCGACCUCGAUGUUGAAUUAAAGGUUAUUUCUAGAUGCAGAAGUUUAGAGGUUAGGUCUGUUCGACCUUUGAAUCUUUACAUGAUCUG